RNAcentral lists this ribosomal RNA (498 nucleotides) under uncultured bacterium. RNAcentral's name for it is "partial 16S ribosomal RNA". It matches the Rfam family "Bacterial small subunit ribosomal RNA", at positions 29 to 523 of the family's 1533-position model. The record is from RNAcentral.
AGUGAACGCUGGCGGUAUGCCUUACACAUGCAAGUCGAACGGUAACAGGUCUUCGGAUGCUGACGAGUGGCGAACGGGUGAGCAAUACAUCGGAACGUGCCUAGUAGUGGGGGAUAACUACUCGAAAGAGUGGCUAAUACCGCAUGAGAUCUACGGAUGAAAGCAGGGGAUCGCAAGACCUUGUGCUACUAGAGCGGCCGAUGGCAGAUUAGGUAGUUGGUGGGAUAAAAGCUUACCAAGCCGACGAUCUGUAGCUGGUCUGAGAGGACGAUCAGCCACACUGGGACUGAGACACGGCCCAGACUCCUACGGGAGUCAGCAGUGGGGAAUUUUGGACAAUGGGCGAAAGCCUGAUCCAGCAAUGCCGCGUGCAGGAUGAAGGCCUUCGGGUUGUAAACUGCUUUUGUACGGAACGAAAAGCCCCGGGUUAAUACCCUGGGGUCAUGACGGUACCGUAAGAAUAAGCACCGGCUAACUACGUGCCAGCCGCCGCAGUAA